This is a long non-coding RNA of Cercocebus atys (sooty mangabey), 2174 nucleotides long. RefSeq lists it as uncharacterized. Lineage: Eukaryota; Metazoa; Chordata; Mammalia; Primates; Cercopithecidae. The transcript is spliced from 3 exons. The record is from RefSeq and is a predicted model, not a curated record.
GCAAGGCCCAGCAGCAGCGACUCCACUUCUCCCUGCAGGAAAUCCUUGUAAAGAGCACAGCAGACGUCUUGAUGACGCAAAGCAUGACUGGUGGCAUGAGUGACGGGGAGCGAGAGGGCGAGGCAAAGGGGAGAAUUUAAGAAGAAUGUGCGUAGGCCGUUCUGAUUGUUUAUUCCAGGUGAUGCAUAAUUUCUUGAAAAGCAUCUGAGUAGGAAACAGAUGGAAAGUUUUGAGUAAUCCAUACUGUAAGGAGAAGUACUCUAAAUGGCUUCAAAUAACUUGAUGUUUCUUUCACCCGCAUAUCAAACUUAAAAAAAAAAAAGUCACAGUAAUCUCAUUAUCCAAUUCAUCUGUGUUUUAACAUAACGCAAGUACAAACGGAUGUAUACUCUGCUUUCAGGAAAGCAAUUUCCUCAUCCAGUGCCUGCUCUAUGCCGGUAAAAGAGUUUAACUGAAGUGGACACCUGGCUUUCCAAGUGUAGGAAAGAUAGGGUGUUGCCUUCUUGGAAACUGCGCAAGAAUAAAUACGUGCCAGUGUUCGUUUGAGGAUUAUAUAACCAGUGGUCUGGCCUCACUGAGAGUACUGGACAAAGUAUUUCACUAUUGCAGAAGGGCUGUCCUCCUUUUCAGCGCAUUGGUUUGCUAUGCUCUGCAGAGAACAAGGCGUGGGGCUGGAGCGAGGAAAUCGGUAAGAACUUGGAAUGAAUAGCCUGAGGUGCGGAAAGGCGACCCAGGAUGUUGGAUUCCACUGUGAUCACAAAUGAUUGUUUAAAGGGGAAAACAAGGAGAAAAUUUGAGAAACCUGGAACAAAGUGGGAAAAAAUAAUGGAGGCGUCCUUACCAAUGCCCAGUCACAGACAGUGCUGGCCCCACAGAGAGAAUGCAGCUACCCGAGAGAACACAGAUAGAGGUGCUCAAGUUAGAGAGAGCUGCAGCAUCACUCAGUCAUUUGCAUCAGAAAGUAAAGCAGCUGUUCAAAAAUUUGCAAAGCAAAUUGGAGGGAAGCCAAGACUUUCAUAGAAAUUAGUUGAUGGAGAUUUCCUACAUGGAGACUUUUUCUUCAGCAAGUACAUAAACUGCAGCACAGACCUGUCUGCGAUGAGCAUUAAGAGCCCUGAAAUAAAGUAUGGGGCUCAACAGGGACUCUGAACAAUGUGGACCACCCAGAAGAGGGAGUCCAGGAAGAAUGCAGACUGUUCUCUCAGCCACAAUGCUGAGGUUUAAAACGUAUUAGUUCUUUAAUGAGGAAGAACAAGAAAUUGAGGGCAAAACACUCUGAAAUCUUUAGUUAUAAAGGCUCCAUUACAGUAUGGCUUUAGUUAUUCUUUUUUAAAAAUCCUCGUGCUCUUUAUAAAGUCAUAGUGAAAUCAGUCUGGUGCUUGACAUUGAAGAAACAGUGACCCAGACUUGGACAGACCCUGCCCUCAUGGAGUUUACGAUCCAAUAGGAGAGACUGACAUUAUACAAGUAAUCACACAAAUGUCAUUGCAAGAUUUGAUAAGUGUGUAGAAGAAAAAGAAGGGGUCAGUGAGGACAAUGUCAGAGGACUUUUGGAUUUAGGAGUCAGAGACAAGUUCUUUGAGAGAGCGACAGUAAUGCCGUGCCCUGAAGGAUCAGGGGGUAUUCGCCAGGAGAAGAGCUGCAGUAGACAAUACCUGGAACAGCAUGCUGAGGCUUAGGGAUGGGAACUGUGGGGUGUGGUCCAGGGACUGGGAGAGGCCUAUACUUGGAGCAUCCUCAGUGAGAUGGAGAGCUGGGGUGGUGGGGACACUGUGGGAUAUAAGGGAAGAGCUGGACCCCCAAGGAUUGUGUGGGCAACGUUAGCAUCUUCAUUUUUUCCCAAACACAGGGUAAGUCAUGGAAGGGAUUUAGGCACACAAGCGACAUAUUCCAAUUUAUAUUUUUAACGGAUCAUCCCAAUUGCAGUGUGGAAAACGAGUCUGUGGGUCUAGAAAGGAAAAGAGAAGUCUAUCAGGGAGGCUUUCAGCCUGGCCAUCAGAGUCAAGGUCAUGGCGAACACAACCAAAUACAGAGACCCCUUUGCUAAUACUAGAUCCUGAAAAGGUCAUGUCUGUCUUGGAGAGGGGGACUCCCCAUUCUACAAAAUGGCACCAAAACCACAGACGAGAUCACUGAUGUAAAGUUCCUCAAGCAAUAAAACAUUUUUUGGAUUA